This 1209-nucleotide long non-coding RNA is filed under the name Papio anubis (olive baboon). RNAcentral's name for it is "lncRNA (ENSPANG00000039516.1)". Lineage: Eukaryota; Metazoa; Chordata; Mammalia; Primates; Cercopithecidae. The record is from RNAcentral.
GGAUUGUUUGCAAAAUGCAAUUUAAACAGAUCGCAUUUUAUGGCUUGCCAUUUACCGUAGUAGUAAAUAGCAAAUAGGCAGUUGUGCCUACGUGUAUUUGCUGAUCUGUCAGACACUGGAAAUAAGCCCAGUACAUUAUCCCUUUAAAACCAGGACACGCAUUCAUUCUCAGGGAGAGGCAUUACGUUUUUAUUGAAAACGACAAACCACUGCAGCUGGGGUGAACAACAGAGGGGGCUCCUUUCAUUACCAUUUAACAUAUGCAUACAUGUUUUUCAGAGUGAGUGCCAGGAUUCGCUUAGCCGUCCUCUGCCAUGUGUCAGAGCAGAGUUAAUGCACUCAGCCUGACCUCCUUCAGAGAACUGCCUGCUGUCUUCUUGUCUAAACUGAAGCCACUUCUUAUCGACUCAUGGAAUCAUUCUCCCCUACCCUUUACUGGCAUCCUUGGCUCAUCACUCCUGUCUCAUAUCUCCCCACUCAUCACCAUUUUAAAGAGUCUGCAUUGAGUGUCACUACAUCUGCUGCUUGAGAAAUUAGACCCUUGCUCCAAAUCUUUUACACCAUUAAAAAAAGAAAGAAAGAAAAAAUAAGAAACCUUUUCCCUUGUCCUUUUCCUGACAUCGCCUUGCAGCCGGAAACUCUCCCAGAAGAGAAUGGGAGAGGAGCAAUCAAUAGCGCCUCUAAACAGAAGAUGCCAUUGGCAAAGAGGUAGCACUCAACCACUGCGGUGAACCGCAGGCUUCUGAUUAAGACACCCGUGCCAGCCUGAUUGAGCUGCCUGUCCGCACCGCAUACAAACCAGCCAUUUAACCCUCCCUCCCUCUGCUGCCUUAUUCCCCUCACAGAAAAUAGAGCACUCAAAGAGAAAAGUGGUGCUUGGGUCUGCAGAGAGUUUAAAAGUAAUUACUGACAGCUGAGUGUUCUCUCUGAAUUCAGAUUCUGCAAUCAAUUAGGAGAGAUUUCAUAGAAAUGAUGAUCGGAAAUGAAAACUCCACAUUAGGUAACAUUAUCCAGACUCCUUGUAGCCCUCCCCAUUAAAGAAAGCUAGCUCCUAGUGGUCUGUUCAACUUCACUCAGUCCAGCUUCCGACAGUUCAGGUGCAUUCCCCACACUGAGGACCUUUAUGUCACAGUCAAAAUUGCUUCACAGCAAUUAACAUACAGCCAAAUUUUGGAACAUGAAGUUGGAGAAUAGGUCUGAUGAAUUUAC